CCUACGGGGGGCAGCAGUGAGGAAUUUUCCGCAAUGGAGGGAACUCUGACGGAGCAACGCCGCGUGCAGGAAGACGCUUUUCGGAGUGUAAACUGCUUUUCUGUGGGAAGAGAAUGGACGGUACCACAGGAAGAAGCCCCGGCUAACUACGUGCCAGCAGCCGCGGUAAUACGUAGGGGGCGAGCGUUGUCCGGAGUUACUGGGCGUAAAGGGCACGCAGGCGGUCGGACGCGUUUCGUGCGACAGCGGAUGGCUUAACUAUCCGAGUGUGCGAAAGACGGUUGGACUUGAGGGCUCGAGAGGGACACGGAAUUCCGGGUGGAGUGGUGAAAUGCGUAGAGAUCCGGAGGAACAUCGAAGGCGAAGGCAGUGUCCUGGCGAGUGACUGACGCUGAGGUGCGAAAGCUAGGGGAGCGAACGGGAUUAGAUACCCGGGUAGUC
RNAcentral lists this ribosomal RNA (441 nucleotides) under uncultured bacterium. RNAcentral's name for it is "bacterial SSU rRNA". It matches the Rfam family "Bacterial small subunit ribosomal RNA", at positions 338 to 795 of the family's 1533-position model. The record is from RNAcentral.